AUUGAACGCUGGCGGCAGGCUUAACACAUGCAAGUCGAGCGGGGGGAGGUAGCUUGCUACCGGACCUAGCGGCGGACGGGUGAGUAAUGCUUAGGAAUCUGCCUAUUAGUGGGGGACAACAUCUCGAAAGGGAUGCUAAUACCGCAUACGUCCUACGGGAGAAAGCAGAGGAUCUUCGGACCUUGCGCUAAUAGAUGAGCCUAAGUCGGAUUAGCUAGUUGGUGGGGUAAAGGCCUACCAAGGCGACGAUCUGUAGCGGGUCUGAGAGGAUGAUCCGCCAAACUGGGACUGAGACACGGCCCAGACUCCUACGGGAGGAAGCAGUGGGGAAUAUUGGACAAUGGGGGGAACCCUGAUCCAGCCAUGCCGCGUGUGUGAAGAAGGCCUUAUGGUUGUAAAGCACUUUAAGCGAGGAGGAGGCUACUUUAGUUAAUACCUAGAGAUAGUGGACGUUACUCGCAGAAUAAGCACCGGCUAACUCUGUGCCAGCCGCCGCCGUAA
RNAcentral lists this ribosomal RNA (501 nucleotides) under uncultured bacterium. RNAcentral describes it as "partial 16S ribosomal RNA". It matches the Rfam family "Bacterial small subunit ribosomal RNA", at positions 30 to 523 of the family's 1533-position model. The record is from RNAcentral.